GGUUAUGGCUCAGCGCUAGAGCACUCACCUCACAAGUUUGAGGCCCUGGGUUCGAUCCUCAGCACCA
This 67-nucleotide transfer RNA is filed under the name Marmota monax (woodchuck). Its description in RNAcentral is "tRNA.Val". Lineage: Eukaryota; Metazoa; Chordata; Mammalia; Rodentia; Sciuridae. The record is from RNAcentral.